Molecule: ribosomal RNA, 253 nt
Filed under: uncultured bacterium
Lineage: Bacteria
Description: partial 16S ribosomal RNA
Rfam family: Bacterial small subunit ribosomal RNA
Source: RNAcentral
UACGAAGGGGGCUAGCGGUGUUCGGAAUAACUGGGCGUAAAGCGCAUGUAGGCGGAUGUUUAAGUCAGAGGUGAAAUCCCAGGGCUCAACCCCGGCAUUGCCUUUGAUACUGGAGAUCUGGAGUCUGGGAGAGGUGAGUGGAAUUCCGAGUGUAGAGGUGAAAUUCGUAGAUAUUCGGAGGAACACCAGUGGCGAAGGCGGCUCACUGGCCCGAGACUGACGCUGAGAUGCGAAAGCGUGGGGAGCAAACAGG